CUGAUUAUUAGCAUCAUUCAUCGAAUGGUGGGUUAGCGCGCGUCGACUUUGCAGUGACCAAGAAACCCGCCAAACGAGGCGGGUUUU
RNAcentral lists this small RNA (87 nucleotides) under Burkholderia sp. SRS-W-2-2016. Its description in RNAcentral is "Pseudomonas sRNA P9". It matches the Rfam family "Pseudomonas sRNA P9". From Rfam's summary of the family: P9 appears to be conserved in several Pseudomonas species in addition to Bordetella spp. In both Pseudomonas and Bordetella spp P9 appears to be located upstream of a predicted threonine dehydratase gene. Lineage: Bacteria; Pseudomonadati; Pseudomonadota; Betaproteobacteria; Burkholderiales; Burkholderiaceae. The record is from Rfam by way of RNAcentral.